This 372-nucleotide ribosomal RNA is filed under the name uncultured organism. RNAcentral's name for it is "bacterial SSU rRNA". It matches the Rfam family "Bacterial small subunit ribosomal RNA", at positions 526 to 896 of the family's 1533-position model. The record is from RNAcentral.
CGGAGGGUGCAAGCGUUGCUCGGAAUUAUUGGGCGUAAAGGGUAGGUAGGUGGUCUCAUUUGUCAGGGGUGAAAGCCUUGGGCUUAACCCAAGAAGUGCCCCUGAAACGGUGAGACUGGGGUCCUGGAGAGGGUCGUGGAAUUCCCGGUGUAGCGGUGAAAUGCGUAGAGAUCGGGAGGAACACCAGAGGCGAAGGCGGCGACCUGGACAGGUACUGACACUCAACUACGAAAGCGUGGGGAGCAAACAGGAUUAGAUACCCUGGUAGUCCACGCUGUAAACGAUGGGUACUAGGUUUGGUAGGUCUUGACCCCUGCCGAGCCGGAGCUAACGCAAUAAGUACCCCGCCUGGGAAGUACGGUCGCAAGACUA